AAACAACAACUAGGUUAUUUGGUACAUACUAGAGGAUGCACAGGUUUAGAGGAGAUGGAUGUUGUAUUGAAACAGGACUAUAUGAUGAAAAUAUAAAUGGAAAAGAUUUAUUAAUAUUUAGUCAACUUCGAUAUGAGAAACAAUGGCCAAAUUCAGUGCCAAUAUUCAUGAACCAGUUAAUGUCACCCCAUUGCAAGCUGUACCACCGAACGUGACAAUAGCAUAUGCUACACUGGUGUCAUCGAACCAAAUACCCUCCGUACCAACAGGACGACCAAAAUCAUUUUCUAACCAUAUAUAGAACAAGCCUAGUAGGUAUAUACUAGUGGAGACAUCUAAUAUGUCUGAUGGGGGUACAAGAAGACCACUUCAUUGUUUUCAUAUUA
This 386-nucleotide long non-coding RNA is filed under the name Physcomitrium patens. Its description in RNAcentral is "long non-coding RNA (PPAT_LNC003538)". The record is from RNAcentral. Lineage: Eukaryota; Viridiplantae; Streptophyta; Bryopsida; Funariales; Funariaceae.